UCCGAAUUAGUGUAGGGGUUAACAUAACUCGCUUUCAUGUCUCAUCUGCCUCGAGCAUUUGAUCACUGAUCCGAGUAGCCCCGGGUUCGAUUCCCGGAUUCGGAA
Non-coding RNA from Ciborinia camelliae, 105 nucleotides. Lineage: Eukaryota; Fungi; Ascomycota; Leotiomycetes; Helotiales; Sclerotiniaceae. The record is from the annotation of a GenBank genome assembly.